AUGUUCUCCAUUAAAAUUUUGACCAGAGCCCGUGAGUAUGGCCUUGGUGGAGCCAACUGCUGUAGACAGGCUGCGGGCUUUGCUGCCGUGAAAGUGAAGAUUAAGUGCUGGAAAGGCGUGGCCACUUGGCUCUGGGUGGCCAAAGAUGAGAACUGCAGCAUCUGCAGGGUAGUGUUUAACUGCUGCUGCCCCGACUGCAAGGUGCCUGGCGACAACUGUCCGCUGGCGUGGGGCCAGUGCUCCCACUGCUUCCACAUGCACUGCAUCCUCAAGUGGCUUCACGCACAGCAGGUGCAGCAGACACUGCCCCAUGUGCCUCCAGGAGUGGCGGUUCAAGGAGUGA
RNA transcript from Cebus imitator (Panamanian white-faced capuchin), 343 nucleotides. It is a transcript of the gene named anaphase-promoting complex subunit 11-like, with no coding region annotated. Lineage: Eukaryota; Metazoa; Chordata; Mammalia; Primates; Cebidae. The record is from RefSeq and is a predicted model, not a curated record. The transcript has a single exon.